GUGUCAGCAGCCGCGGUAAAACGUGGGAGGCAAACGUUAUCCGGAUUUACUGGGUGUAAAGGGAGUGUAGGCGGUUCUUUAAGUCAGGUGUGAAAUCUUUUGACUUAAACAAAAGAAGUCAUUUGAAACUGGGGAACUUGAGGGCAGCAGAAGGAAACGGAAUUCCCAGUGUAGCGGUGAAAUGCGUAGAUAUUGGGAAGAACACCAGCGGCGAAGGCGGUUUCCUAGGUUGUUCCUGACGCUGAGGCUCGAAAGCGUGGGUAGCGAAGCGGAUUAGAUACCCGCGUAGUCCACGCCCUAAACGGUGGACACUAGAUAUGGGGAGUAUCGACCCUUUCCGUGUCGAAGCUAACGCCUUAAGUGUCCCACCUGGGUACUACGAUCGCAAGAUUAAAACUUAAAUGAAUUGACGGGG
Molecule: ribosomal RNA, 415 nt
Filed under: uncultured prokaryote
Description: bacterial SSU rRNA
Rfam family: Bacterial small subunit ribosomal RNA
Source: RNAcentral